Molecule: transfer RNA, 74 nt
Filed under: Candidatus Scatousia excrementigallinarum
Lineage: Bacteria
Description: tRNA-Arg
Rfam family: tRNA
About the family: Transfer RNA (tRNA) molecules are approximately 80 nucleotides in length.
Source: RNAcentral
GCCCUGGUAGCUCAGCUGGAUAGAGCAACCGCCUUCUAAGCGGUAGGUCAUGCGUUAGAAUCGCAUCCAGGGUA